AGGACGAACGCUGGCGGCGUGCUUAACACAUGCAAGUCGAGCGGAAAGGCCCUUCGGGGUACUCGAGCGGCGAACGGGUGAGUAACACGUGAGUAAUCUGCCCUUAGCUCUGGGAUAGCUCCGGGAAACCGGGAUUAAUACCAGAUAUGGCCACACUAGACAUCUGGUGUGGUGGAAAGGAUUCCGGCUAGGGAUGAGCUCGCGGCCUAUCAGCUUGUGGUGGGUAACGCCUACCAAGGCGACGACGGGUA
Molecule: ribosomal RNA, 251 nt
Filed under: uncultured bacterium
Lineage: Bacteria
Description: partial small subunit ribosomal RNA
Rfam family: Bacterial small subunit ribosomal RNA
Source: RNAcentral